This 301-nucleotide ribosomal RNA is filed under the name alpha proteobacterium 1303. Its description in RNAcentral is "bacterial SSU rRNA". It matches the Rfam family "Bacterial small subunit ribosomal RNA", at positions 1 to 335 of the family's 1533-position model. Lineage: Bacteria; Pseudomonadati; Pseudomonadota; Alphaproteobacteria. The record is from RNAcentral.
CUGAGUUUGAUCCUGGCUCAGAACGAACGCUGGCGGCAGGCCUAACACAUGCAAGUCGAACGGAUCCUUCGGGAUUAGUGGCAGACGGGUGAGUAACGCGUGGGAAGCUACCUUGUGGUAGGGGACAACAGUUGGAAACGACUGCUAAUACCCUAUGAGCCCUAUGGGGGAAAGAUUUAUCGCCAUGAGAUGUGCCCGCGUUAGAUUAGCUAGUUGGUAAGGUAAUGGCUUACCAAGGCGACGAUCUAUAGCUGGUCUGAGAGGAUGAUCAUGCCACACUGGGACUGAGACACGGCCCAGA